AGGAGGAACAACCGCAGUGGCGGGGCCAGUUCUGCAGCCCUGGAGUCAGCUCCCGCAGUAACCACAGAGCUCUCCGUCUGCAGGGCCUGGAGGCUCCGGGGCGGG
Molecule: non-coding RNA, 105 nt
Organism: Canis lupus familiaris (dog)
Lineage: Eukaryota; Metazoa; Chordata; Mammalia; Carnivora; Canidae
Source: Rfam